CAGCAGCCACGGUAAUACGUAAGUGGCAAGCGUUGUCCGGAAUUAUUGGGCGUAAAGGGCUCGCAGGCGGUUUCUUAAGUCUGAUGUGAAAGCCCCCGGCUCAACCGGGGAGGGUCAUUGGAAACUGGGAAACUUGAGUGCAGAAGAGGAGAGUGGAAUUCCACGUGUAGCGGUGAAAUGCGUAGAGAUGUGGAGGAACACCAGUGGCGAAGGCGACUCUCUGGUCUGUAACCGACGCUGAGGAGCGAAAGCGUGGGGAGCGAACAGGAUUAGAUACCCCCGUAGUCCCUGUCUCUUAUAC
This 301-nucleotide ribosomal RNA is filed under the name uncultured bacterium. RNAcentral's name for it is "partial 16S ribosomal RNA". It matches the Rfam family "Bacterial small subunit ribosomal RNA", at positions 509 to 807 of the family's 1533-position model. The record is from RNAcentral.